AUGCAGUUCGAGCGGAGAGAGGUAGCUUGCGACUGAUCUUAGCGGCGGACGGGUGGGUAAUACUUAGGAAUCUGGCUAUUAGUGGGGGACAACAUUUCGAAAGGGAUGCUAAUACCGCAUACGUCCUACGGGAGAAAGCAGGGGAUCAGUAAUGACCUUGCGCUAAUAUAUGAGCCUAAGUCGGAUUAGCUAGUUGGUGGGGUAAAGGCCUACCAAGGCGACGAUCUGUAGCGGGUCUGAGAAGAUGAUCCGCCACAGUGAGACUGACACACGGCCCACACUCCUACGAGACGCAGCAGUGGGGAAUAUUGCACAAUGGGGGGAACCCUGAUCCACCCAUGCCGCGUGUGUGAAGAACGCCUUAUGGUUGUAAAGCACUUUACGCGAAGAAGAGGGUACUGAUAUUAAUACUACCAUCUACUGCACGUUACUCACAAAAUACACACCCUCUAACUCUGUGCCAACACCCGCGAUAAUACAGAGGGUGCGAGCGUUACUCAUAUUUACUGCGCAUAAAGCGUGCAUACGCCGCUAAUUGACUCAUAUGUAAUCUCCCCGAUCUUAUCUUGAGAAUUACAUUCUAUACUGGUUAUCUAGAGUGUGAGAAAAUAUUAUAAAAUUCCAUGUAUAGCUGUGAUAUGCAUAAAUAUCUAGAAGAAUACCUAUCGCGAACGCACCCAUCUGGCCUAACACUCACGCUUAUAUACAAAAGCGUGGGGAGCACACAAGAUUAUAUACCCUGAUACUCCAUGCCAUACACUAUCUCUACUAACCGUUGGUCUCUUUGAGAUAUUAAUCGCUCAUCUAACGCUAUAAGUACACCGCCUGGGAAGUACUCUCGCAAGACUAACACUGGGGUGUUUUCACCGACUCACUCACACGCGGUGGAGCAUGUUAUUGAGUCGAUACAAC
RNAcentral lists this ribosomal RNA (912 nucleotides) under Acinetobacter ursingii. RNAcentral describes it as "bacterial SSU rRNA". It matches the Rfam family "Bacterial small subunit ribosomal RNA", at positions 55 to 960 of the family's 1533-position model. Lineage: Bacteria; Pseudomonadati; Pseudomonadota; Gammaproteobacteria; Moraxellales; Moraxellaceae. The record is from RNAcentral.